CUCUGCAUGAGCUGCAGCCCACUCCUUUGCAUUCCAGUGCACUCAGCCUUAUCAAAUAUUUACUGUUGAGUUAUGGCUGCUACCCGCUCUGCAAGGUAACAGACAGGGAAGGCUGAUGUUUAUGGCUGCUACCCGCUCUGCAAGGGAACGGACAGGGAAGGCUGAUGUUUAGGGCUGCUACCCGCUCUGCAAGGGAACGGACAGGGAAGGGGAAGGCUGAUGUUUAGGGCUGCUACCUGCUCUGCAAGGUAACGGACAGGGAAGGCUGAUGUUUAGGGCUGCUACCCGCUCUGCAAGGGAACGG
Molecule: long non-coding RNA, 304 nt
Organism: Oncorhynchus tshawytscha (Chinook salmon)
Lineage: Eukaryota; Metazoa; Chordata; Actinopteri; Salmoniformes; Salmonidae
Source: Ensembl